GCAUUGGUAGUUCAGUGGUAGAAUUUUUCCUUUCCAUGCGGAAGACCCAGGUUUGAUUCCUGGCCAGUGCA
This 71-nucleotide transfer RNA is filed under the name Loxodonta africana (African savanna elephant). It matches the Rfam family "tRNA". From Rfam's summary of the family: Transfer RNA (tRNA) molecules are approximately 80 nucleotides in length. Their secondary structure includes four short double-helical elements and three loops (D, anti-codon, and T loops). The record is from Rfam by way of RNAcentral. Lineage: Eukaryota; Metazoa; Chordata; Mammalia; Proboscidea; Elephantidae.